RNAcentral lists this ribosomal RNA (119 nucleotides) under Pteropus alecto (black flying fox). The record is from RNAcentral. Lineage: Eukaryota; Metazoa; Chordata; Mammalia; Chiroptera; Pteropodidae.
GUCUCCAGCCAUGCCACCCUGAACGCACCCAAUCUCAUCUGAUCUCAGAAGCUAAGCAGGAUAGGGCCUGGUUAGUACUUGGAUGGGAGACUAUCUAGGAAUACCGGAUGCUGUAGGCG